RNAcentral lists this ribosomal RNA (253 nucleotides) under uncultured bacterium. Its description in RNAcentral is "partial 16S ribosomal RNA". It matches the Rfam family "Bacterial small subunit ribosomal RNA", at positions 524 to 776 of the family's 1533-position model. The record is from RNAcentral.
UACGUAGGGUGCGAGCGUUAAUCGGAAUUACUGGGCGUAAAGCGUGCGCAGGCGGUUCGUUGUGUCGGUGGUGAAAUCCCCGGGCUUAACCUGGGAAUGGCCAUGGAAACUGGCGAACUGGAGUGCGGCAGAGGGGGGUGGAAUUCCUGGUGUAGCAGUGAAAUGCGUAGAUAUCAGGAGGAACACCGAUGGCGAAGGCAGGUCUCUGGGCAUGUCCUGACGCUGAGGAGCGAAAGUGUGGGGAGCGAACAGG